CCUCCUACGGGGGGCAGCAGUAGGGAAUCUUCCACAAUGGACGAAAGUCUGAUGGAGCAACGCCGCGUGAGUGAAGGAGUAUUUCGGUAUAUAAAGCCCUAUCAGCAGGGAAGAACAAUGACGGUACCUGACUAAGAAGCACCGGCUAAAUACGUGCCAGCAGCCGCGGUAAUACGUAUGGUGCAAGCGUUAUCCGGAUUUAUUGGGUUUAAAGGGUGCGUAGGCGGUCCGUUAAGUCAGCGGUAAAAUUGCGGGGCUCAACCCCGUCGAGCCGUUGAAACUGGCAGACUUGAGUUGGCGAGAAG
RNAcentral lists this ribosomal RNA (305 nucleotides) under uncultured bacterium. RNAcentral describes it as "bacterial SSU rRNA". It matches the Rfam family "Bacterial small subunit ribosomal RNA", at positions 335 to 657 of the family's 1533-position model. The record is from RNAcentral.